AGUGAACGCUGGCGGUAGGCCUAACACAUGCAAGUCGAACGGCAGCACAGUAAGAGCUUGCUCUUACGGGUGGCGAGUGGCGGACGGGUGAGGAAUACAUCGGAAUCUACUUUUUCGUGGGGGAUAACGUAGGGAAACUUACGCUAAUACCGCAUACGACCUACGGGUGAAAGCAGGGGAUCUUCGGACCUUGCGCGAUUGAAUGAGCCGAUGUCGGAUUAGCUAGUUGGCGGGGUAAAGGCCCACCAAGGCGACGAUCCGUAGCUGGUCUGAGAGGAUGAUCAGCCACACUGGAACUGAGACACGGUCCAGACUCCUACGGGAGGCAGCAGUGGGGAAUAUUGGACAAUGGGCGCAAGCCUGAUCCAGCCAUACCGCGUGGGUGAAGAAGGCCUUCGGGUUGUGAAGCCCUUUUGUUGGGAAAGAAAGGCAGCAGGUUAAUACCCCGCUGUUCUGACGGUACCCAAAGAAUAAGCACCGGCUAACUUCGUG
RNAcentral lists this ribosomal RNA (492 nucleotides) under uncultured bacterium. RNAcentral's name for it is "partial 16S ribosomal RNA". It matches the Rfam family "Bacterial small subunit ribosomal RNA", at positions 29 to 507 of the family's 1533-position model. The record is from RNAcentral.